GGGGUUGUGGGUCAGUGGUAGAGCGCUCGCCUUGCACGUGUGAGACCCUGGGUUCGAUCCUCAGCACCACCU
This is a non-coding RNA of Ictidomys tridecemlineatus (thirteen-lined ground squirrel), 72 nucleotides long. The record is from Rfam. NCBI's taxonomy places the organism in Eukaryota, Metazoa, Chordata, Mammalia, Rodentia, Sciuridae.